Molecule: non-coding RNA, 7516 nt
Organism: Equus caballus (horse)
Lineage: Eukaryota; Metazoa; Chordata; Mammalia; Perissodactyla; Equidae
Source: RefSeq, a predicted model, not a curated record
AGAAAUCUUUCUUUCGACUCCUCGGCUCACCGAUCCCGCAUCAGCUACCAUGUACCAGACAUUUUUAGGAAGUAAGAAUAAGAGAAUUUCUGCCCCUGAAGGGCUCACAGUAUCGUGGGUGAGAUGAGCACAGUUUCAAUUUGGUUUAGCAUGGAAUGAAGACUACAAGAAUGCACAAUCGAGAAUCAGUAUAAACCUGUCUGGGGAGGUCAGGAAAGGCUUGCCAGAAGAGAGAAUACCCGAGAAGGUUUCUGAAGAAUGAGAGUGCGUUUGCCCACUGGGUGAGGGUUUAAAAUAAUCCAGGGAGAUGACUGCACAACUCAGUAAAUUUACUAAACAAAAGGCAUUUACUUAAAUGGGUGAAUUUUAUGGUAUGCAAAUUCUACCUCAAUAAAGUUGUUUAAAAGAAAUAAUCCAGGCAGAGAACAGAAGAUGCGAAAGCUCAGAUGAUGAAGUGGUUAAUCAUCAAUGAAACCCCUAUAUCCUCAACUUCCCUGAAGUUCCUGUUCCCUUCAUCUCUUGAUCUAACCGUAACCUGGCUCUCCCCUGAAGACAACGCUCCCCUAGUUGUCCUCUCAAGUGGUUGACUGUUUUCUUCUCCCACAAAGGUCAUAUCACUGGGCCUGAAGCGGGCCGGGGUGGGGGGUGGUCCCUCAUUGCUGUUUCUCAAUUAUUUCUUCCUCUUCACUAAAACAGCCCAGCUUUAUAUUUCAUGUCAUCAGACCAUACUAGACAGUACCCUGACUUGCCAUCUAUAGAUGGCAAGUUCUUCUCUCAGUAUUUUACAACUUAGUAAAUGGCCACUCCAUUUUUUUAGUUGCUCAGGCCAAAAACUCUUAGAACGAUGCUGACUUUUCUUUAUCAACCUACAUCCACUCCAUUAGGAAAUCCUAUUGGUUCAAACUUCAAAAUAUAACCAGAAUGAAACCACCCAGGGUUGCCGUUCCCACUGUGGUCAACCAUGAGCUAAAUUAUUGCAGUUGUCUCCUAGCUGGUCUCCUGGAGGACAUGCUGGUCACCCUACCAUCAAUAAGUGAUGCUUUAAAACAUAAAUCAGAUUAUAAACACACUAAUCCAAUAAUGGCUUCUCAUGUCACUCAGAGUAAAGCUCAUCUCCCUGUAAAGAAGGCCCUUGGGCUGCAUAUUUCACUGGUCCUGGAAAAUGACAAAAUUGAAGCAGUGAACAUUUAAACAACUUGAGACCUGAUUUAGCUACAAAACUUCUAUUUUAAUGUCCCUUAUCAAUUAAUCUCGUCAACACUUAUCUUAUUCAAACUCCAGAAGUCAGAACUUUAUUAUCCAUAUUGUCCUACAGGAAUCCUAAAGCGUUACAACACUCCACAAGUGAAUGGAACUUUCACAGCCUUUACCUUAAAUAGGAAGUAUUUAGUCAUAGAAAAUAUCAAGUUAUUUAGAAUGGUAUUUCAAAACUCCAUUCUUCUGGUAAGUUUUUUGUUUUUUUUUUUUUUGAUGUGGAAGAUUGUCCCUGAGGUAACAUCUGUUGCCAAAUCUUCCUCUAUUUUGUUUGCUGGAUGCUGCCACAGGCUUGAUGAGCAGUAUGUAGGUCCACGCCCAGGAUCCGAACCCACAAACCCCGGGCCGCGGAAGCAGAGUAUGUGAACCUAGCCACCAGACCACCCAGCUGGCCCCUGGUCAAGGAUUUUUUAACCUCAGGUAUUAAGCCAACUUUUCCCCCACUUCAAAGCAGUUAAAAUUACAAUAGCUCUUUACUUACUUUGCCUCACACUCAUCUCUUCUGGAAUAGGCUCUUGAGAUGUCUCCUCUGAUUCAAGAUUUCUACCUUCCAAGGUUGGAAGGUUGACAUCCGUCAAACCAGAGCGUCUUUUUCGUUCAUAUUUAUCAUAUCUGUCUGCUUUCUGAGCGAGAAAUCUCUCCUCAGCAAUUUUAGUUCUAAUCAUCUCAAUACUUAAAUCCUUUCUCAGUUGACUGGCAAAAUGUGAUGCAGCCAUCCUGCCAGGGAAAAGAAAGGUAGACAACUUAUAUAGAUUUUCAUAUUAUUUAAAAAAUUAAGAUUCCAGUUCACCUCCUGCCCCACCUCAGAGCAUUCUGAAAUAAAAAAUUUUCAGUACAAAAUGGAAUAAAUAUGUGACACUGCAGUGUGGGAAGAAAGUUAUCAAAAGAUAGUACGAUCUGUUUUGGGCUUCUACAUAGGGCCUUGCUUGACAGAUGAAGUGAAGCCCAGGAAGCUAUGGGCCAUAACACAAACAAGAGGCUCUAGGCUCACCGCACAGCACUACAAAGUGACAAGAGUGAAGGAAAGGAAAGGAUAGGGAAAGUAAGUGAAGGACAGUAUACAGAAUCGUUUCCUAACCUUUCCCUGGUGAUGAAGGCAGGAGCCUGGCAUUUUUUCUCAAGCCAAAAAACAAAACAAACCGAACACACAAGAUGCCUAUUAGACAGACAGGGAUGAUAAGCAGGCAGUUGGAUAUACAAGAUUGAGCACAAGAUGGGUUUUUAGAAGAACUGCCAUGGUGAUACAGAAGGAUAACCAUACAGUCUGCCGUUUGAGGGCAUAAUGAAAUUAUUUUCAGCCAUGUAAGAAAUCAUAUUGUUUACCUGGCCCAUACUCUUUUCUUAGAAAGAUUCUUGAGAACGUGUUCAAGCAAAACAAGGGAGAAGGACAAGAAACAGGAUGCCAUGUGUUCCAGGAAAUCCUUCAUUCAAGUGAGGAAAAGAAUAAAGGAAAGUGGAAAGUCUAAGGGAGUCACCUAUGCAGCUGGUAUAGAAAACAACCAAGCCCAAUGGGAGAAAGAUGACUGAUUCUCCACAAGUGUUGCUGGCUCAAAAGAAAAAAAGAAAGAAAGAAAAAGGGGACGGUCUGCCAAUAGGAAGAUAAAAAAGUUCUAAGCAAACUAGACUCUUCAACAACAAGAAUAACUGAGACAGUCCACUAGAAAACUCCAGAUCAAAGAAAAAUCUGCACAAGAAAUGCAACCAAUUAAAAUGUUACGUGAUUUUAAGCAAUCAACAGAGUAUAUAAAAAAUGAGAAUUCUUCUGACCUGGAUGCUAAUAACAUUCUCCUGUAAGAGCCCAGGGGAAGUGACAAAGGACUCCACUUUUCAGUAAGCAUGCUCCUCUACUAUUUGACUUGCCACCUCCUGCAAGUAUUAAUGUGCUAAAUGUUAAAGAGACAAUAAACCAUUAGUUAUUUUAAAAUACUGCAUAGCACUAUGCACCACAAAGAGAGACAGGGUGUGUGCAAAAGCUCGAGUUAAUAGUAAAGGCGUGUUUAAUUGUCACCUAAACCCGAACAGGUGGUUAGUAUCAUCGCUGUUACACAGGUGAGGGAGAGAACUGCCCACGUGAGCACAGCCAACAGGCGCUGGAGCUGGGAUCUCAAGCCCUCAGCCUGGCUCUUCACAUACAGGACAUCUAAGUGCCCCUUUUGGCUGAGUGGAGUUUCUUACAGCUUGAAAGUCUAGAAUGCCUUGUCUUGCUUGCCUAGAGGUUCGCAACCAGGGCGGGUUUUGUUGUUGCUUGCUCUGGGAGCAGCUACUGGAAUUGAAGGUCGGGGCCAAGGAUCCUAAGCAUCGUCCUGCCCCAGAGGCCAAUCACGGCCCAGUGGUGAAACGCUGACUAUUGUAUAGAUUAUGGCAACAAAUAUUUACUCUUCUGGAGGACGGAGCCGUCGGCUGCGGGAAGUGGUCCUAGAGGAGCCUCCCCCAAGCGGCGUCCAGCUCGCCGCUGCCCAUCUCAGACCCUUCCAGACCUUCUAGGAGGAGGCGAGCCAGCGCCCUUCUUCCAGCUCCCAGCACCCACCUUCCUCAGGCAGCCUGUAGCGUGAAACCUCUGUCAAACCAAAAGGAAAGGAACGCUCCCUGUCUGGAGAGCCACCGCCGCCUCGGAGCAGUGCCGCCUACACCUGAGCCGCCCAGAAUCCGAACUUCCCACACCCAGCCUCUGAUUGGAGGGCCUUUGAGCAACCCCUGCGGGAAAGGGGCCCGCCCCUUCUCUCCCACGAGGCUUGCGAUUGGUUCUCUCCCUGUGCUAUUCGAAUUGAUUGAAAGGUGAACGCACGGUUCAAAGGAUGGGCGGGUCCAACCGAUUCUGGCUGAGGGCCGGGGCCGGGGCGCAGGUGAGGCGGUGCGGUCCCUAAUCCGCCCGGAGCUCCAGGGCCCCAGCAUCGGAGGAGAAUGAAAGCGCUCCUCGGAGCAGAAGGGACUCUGUUUGCCGGGCUUUUUAACGUCCUUAUUUAGUCACACAAAUCCAGCACAGCUUAUUGGAACGUUUUCUUCACUUAAUAUUUUUUAAAAAGGGUUUACUACCUCAGAUUUCUCCUUACAUCGCUUAGCGUUACUUGCCAACAUCGCCAGGCUUUUUUUUUCCCAUCCGGUUUUUAUUGAGGUAAAAUUUAAAUACCGUGGAAAGGAUUGAUCUUUUAGUGUGUGAUUUGAUGAGUUUUGCUAAACGUAAACAGCUGUGUAAGCACCACCCAAUCGGGAAACAGCAUUUCCAUCAGAGAGUUCCCUCAUCCCCUUUCCAGGCGCCCACUGUUAGGCAGCCAACCUCUGCUCUGAUUUCCAUCACCACACACAUAAAGGGGGUAGGUCCUCUCCCAGGUGGGCCUUCUUUCUCUAACCAUGCUUUCCAGAUCCAUCCCUACUGUUGUGUGAUCAGGAGUUGGAUUUCAUUGCUGAAAAGUAUUCCAUCGAAUACUUUGUCUACCCAUUCACCCAUUGCUGGACAUCUGGAUUGUUUCCGUUUUUAGCUAUUAUGAAUAAAGUUGUGUGGAAAUUAAUAAAUAGAAACUUCAUUAAAUUGGAGUCUUGGGGCCCAAAGGCGGAGCUCUCACACCCUACCUCCUAGCAGAGCCCAACAGGAAGAAGACAGACUUCUUCUUGACCAAGAAGCUCAGCCAAUGAGAGACUAUCACAACUCAGCUAGUGAAACGCUGCUACACAUCUGGACUCCCUGUUCACAACGGCCGUCCCAACUUCCUCUUCCGCCUAGAAAAGAGUUUCUCCUCCAUGCUGCUAGCGACUUGCACCUGGCUCGCGAUGGUUUCAGACAUUGAAUUGCAAUUCUUGGUCCCCCAUAAACCCAGUUUUGCUGGAGAAAUAACUGGCUGGCUGUUUCAGGUCAAUAGUUGCUAUAAACAUUCUUGUACAAGUCUUUUUUGUGGGCCUGUUUUAUUUCUCUUGGGGAAAUAUAGAUGUGGUAUUUCUGGGUCAUUCUGGGUAUGCUUAACUUUAUAAGAAAUUGCCAAGCAGUUUUCCAAAAGAAAGCUGGCACAUUGUUAGGAACAGAGAGGGUCAUGGUGCAAUGAUAAAACAUUCUAUUCACCAAGCUAGAGCAAUUUUAAACAUGUAUGGAUCUAAUAAAAUAGGCUCACGAUUGAUGAAGCAAAAAUCUACAGAACUACAGAGAAAAAUUGAUGAAUCCGCCGUUAUCGUGAGUGAUUCAACACACCUCUCUCAGCACUGAUUGACCAAACAGACAGAAUUCAGCAAUGAUAUAAAGAAGAUUCAACAAAAGAACUAACCAACUUGAGCGAAUGGACACUCAAUAAUCAGAGAACACAUAUUUUCCUUGAGCACAUAUGGAGGAGUUACAAAUGAUCACACACUAGGCCAUGAAGAAAACUCCAACAAACUGCAUAGACUCAAGAAAGUUGGAAAUUAAAAGCAAAAAAUAAAUUUAAAAUCCCUGUUUAGUAACUUCUGGGUUUAAGAUGAAACUUAUGAUGGAAAAUGUAAAUGUCUAAAACCAAAAGAUAAUGAAAAAGCAAAUCAAGACUAGUGGGAUAUAGCAAAAUAGGUGCUUUGAAAGAAAUUUUGAAAGAAACUUUAAAAGAAAUUUUAAAUGCUUAUGUUAGAAAAGAAGAAAAUCUUAAAAUUAAUAUGUGUCCCUCUUAAGAAAUUAGAAAAAUAAUAACUGAGUAAAGUCAAAGAAAAUAGAAAGAUAGUAAAAGAAAGUACACAAACCAGUGAAAUAGAAAGUAAAGAUACAAUAAGAAAAUCGACAAAGUUAAAACUUCAUUCUUUGAAAAAAUUAAAAUAGAUAAAACUCUAGCAAGAUUGAUCAAAAAAAGAAAACACAAACAGUAUCAUGAAUGAGAAUACACAAAGGGGACUAUAUGCGUUACUAAUUCCUGUGUAGCAGAUUACCCCAAAAUUUGCAGCAUACAACAACCACCAUUUUAUUUGCUCUUGAUUCAAUGGGUCAGGAAUUUGGGCAGAUCUCAGUGGAACAAGUCAUCUGUGUUUCAUGUCUGUGUUCUCAGCUGGGUUGGCUCAAAGGGCCAGGCACUGGCUGGGAUGGGUAUUGAUCCCCUUUCUAAUUCUCUCUUCUCAUUCUCCCACUAGAGUGAGAGAAUCCACGGCCGUCUUGCUCAUCUUUGUGGACCCUGUUGCUGACUAUCAAGUGGGGCCAUUCUCUCCCUUUGGUUAGUCUUUCCUUCCCCAGCAGAUUCUCCAUUUCGUCUCUCUUGGACUUCUUUGCCUGGUAGCUGGGUUCCUUCUUGGCAUAUGUGGAAGGCCUCAUAAGACUUCGAUUUGGAAGUUUCAUAUUGGCAGAGGAGAAAAACAAGAGCUGGAGCAAUAACAUGCUGUGAAUUUUAUUGCCUCAGGAGAGGGACAGGGCAGGGAGGAGGGCAGAGUUAGCCAGUCAAAUGUUUGCCUGUUUUACUUGUCCGCACACCUGAGCUCAGCGAGGAGCACACGACGUUCAGGAGGACGCAGGGGCCCUGGAGGAGCAGGGGAAGGAGAGGCUGCCCCGUCGGAGGUCCGCGAGGGCCAGAGUGGUGCUGAGAAGCUACGUGGGAAACAAACACUGCUCCAUGGUGGAGCCCGAGGAGGGGCUAACCUCGGAAAAAGUAGUGGUGUCAGCUAUUUGGGGAAAGCAGGACCCUAGCACAGGGUUCCAACCUCAGCUGAGACUCCCAUGCUGCGCGUGGAGCCCCGAUGGAGCAGAGAUCUGCUGCGCUGCAAGGAGUCAUUCAUGGAGGCUCCCGGUUCCCCGGGUGUGCAGAUCACUGAAGCCUGGGGGGCCCCUUCUCUCUGAUGAUUUGGCAACUGCAAACCUUGGUGGGACCCCGGGGGGGCAGAGAAAGCCCAGGAAUAUCUGUGGUUACAUUUCCCAUCAAGCAGGUCUUAUGAGGGAGGUAGAGGGAGAAAGGGAAUAUUUCCCAGAGGCGGAAAUUAAACUGAAAUGUAGAAAAUAAAGUGAUAUUUCUUAUACACUUGAAUUUGUUGGCUGAGAUAAUACCCUGCCACGUAAUCUUUAAAUUGCCAAGCUUUAUGAGAUUUACUUGCUGUUCUGUAAUAUAAUUAUUAAAUCUUCUGUGCUUUUGACAUUGUUUGACACCCAAAAGUGAAAACCAAUAGACGGCAUGUACAAUAUUAAGAUUACAUAAGUAUUAUUCACCGCAAACCAAGCAUUGCGAUUGAACUAAUUUAGAAGGAAACUGAAGGCAUUCAAACAUUAAAAGUUUGCUGCUUAAAUUUUUCUUUUAUUUUCUCUGGUUGUACUUAGUUGCCACCAUUAUGUACAAUC